CCGGCGCACGGGUGAGUAACACGUAUCCAACCUGCCGUCUACUCUUGGCCAGCCUUCUGAAGGAAGAUUAAUCCAGGAUGGGAUCAUGAGUUCACAUGUCCGCAUGAUUAAAGGUAUUUCCGGUAGACGAUGGGGAUGCGUUCCAUUAGAUAGUAGGCGGGGUAACGGCCCACCUAGUCUACGAUGGAUAGGGGUUCUGAGAGGAAGGUCCCCCACAUUGGAACUGAGACACGGUCCAA
Molecule: ribosomal RNA, 239 nt
Filed under: uncultured bacterium
Lineage: Bacteria
Description: partial 16S ribosomal RNA
Rfam family: Bacterial small subunit ribosomal RNA
Source: RNAcentral